Molecule: ribosomal RNA, 730 nt
Filed under: uncultured bacterium
Lineage: Bacteria
Description: bacterial SSU rRNA
Rfam family: Bacterial small subunit ribosomal RNA
Source: RNAcentral
AACAGGAUUAGAUACCCUGGUAGUCCACGCCGUAAACGAUGUCGACUUGGAGGUUGUGCCCUUGAGGCGUGGCUUCCGGAGCUAACGCGUUAAGUCGACCGCCUGGGGAGUACGGCCGCAAGGUUAAAACUCAAAUGAAUUGACGGGGGCCCGCACAAGCGGUGGAGCAUGUGGUUUAAUUCGAUGCAACGCGAAGAACCUUACCUACUCUUGACAUCCAGAGAACUUAGCAGAGAUGCUUUGGUGCCUUCGGGAACUCUGAGACAGGUGCUGCAUGGCUGUCGUCAGCUCGUGUUGUGAAAUGUUGGGUUAAGUCCCGCAACGAGCGCAACCCUUAUCCUUUGUUGCCAGCGGUUCGGCCGGGAACUCAAAGGAGACUGCCAGUGAUAAACUGGAGGAAGGUGGGGAUGACGUCAAGUCAUCAUGGCCCUUACGAGUAGGGCUACACACGUGCUACAAUGGCAUAUACAAAGAGAAGCGACCUCGCGAGAGCAAGCGGACCUCAUAAAGUAUGUCGUAGUCCGGAUUGGAGUCUGCAACUCGACUCCAUGAAGUCGGAAUCGCUAGUAAUCGUGGAUCAGAAUGCCACGGUGAAUACGUUCCCGGGCCUUGUACACACCGCCCGUCACACCAUGGGAGCGGGUUGCAAAAGAAGUAGGUAGCUUAACCUUCGGGAGGGCGCUUACCACUUUGUGAUUCAUGACUGGGGUGAAGUCGUAACAAGGUAACC